This 322-nucleotide ribosomal RNA is filed under the name uncultured eukaryote. RNAcentral's name for it is "partial 18S ribosomal RNA". It matches the Rfam family "Eukaryotic small subunit ribosomal RNA", at positions 1470 to 1796 of the family's 1831-position model. The record is from RNAcentral.
CCCUUAGAUGUUCUGGGCCGCACGCGUGCUACACUGAGUGGAUCAGCGGGUCAGGUUACGCGAGAGCGUUUCCUAAUCUUCAAAUCCGCUCGUGAUGGGGAUUGACGGUUGCAAUUUUCCGUCAUGAACGAGGAAUACCUUGUAAGCGCGGGUCAUCAUCCCGCGCUGAAUACGUCCCUGCCCUUUGUACACACCGCCCGUCGCUCCUACCGAUUGAGUGGUCCGGUGAGGCUUUGGGAUCUAAGCGAAAAGAGCGUUUCGCUCCUUUUACUGGGAGAACUCAGUCGAACCUUAUCAUUUAGAGGAAGGAGAAGUCGUAACA